RNAcentral lists this ribosomal RNA (519 nucleotides) under uncultured Bacteroidota bacterium. RNAcentral describes it as "bacterial SSU rRNA". It matches the Rfam family "Bacterial small subunit ribosomal RNA", at positions 889 to 1410 of the family's 1533-position model. The record is from RNAcentral. Lineage: Bacteria; Pseudomonadati; Bacteroidota.
CAACGGUGAAACUCAAAGGAAUUGACGGGGGCCCGCACAAGCGGAGGAACAUGUGGUUUAAUUCGAUGAUACGCGAGGAACCUUACCCGGGCUUAAAUUGCAGAUGAAUUACGGUGAAAGCCGUAAGCCGCAAGGCAUCUGUGAAGGUGCUGCAUGGUUGUCGUCAGCUCGUGCCGUGAGGUGUCGGCUUAAGUGCCAUAACGAGCGCAACCCUUGUUGUCAGUUACUAACAGGUCCCGCUGAGGACUCUGACAAGACUGCCAUCGUAAGAUGUGAGGAAGGUGGGGAUGACGUCAAAUCAGCACGGCCCUUACGUCCGGGGCUACACACGUGUUACAAUGGCAGGUACAGCGGGAAGCCAUACGGCGACGUAGCGCAGAACCCGAAAACCUGUCUCAGUUCGGAUUGGAGUCUGCAACUCGACUCCAUGAAGCUGGAUUCGCUAGUAAUCGCGCAUCAGCCACGGCGCGGUGAAUACGUUCCCGGGCCUUGUACACACCGCCCGUCAAGCCAUGGAAG